GGAAACUGGGGAUAAUACCGGAUAUUAGGUGAUGCCUGCAAUGGUUUGCCUUUGAAAUGUUUCUUGUAUUCGCCUAAGGAUAGAUCUGCGGCUGAUUAGGUCGUUGGUGGGGUAAUGGCCCACCAAGCCGAUGAUCGGUACGGGUUGUGAGAGCAAGGGCCCGGAGAUGGAACCUGAGACAAGGUUCCAGACCCUACGGGGUGCAGCAGGCGCGAAACCUCCGCAAUGUACGUAAGUGCGACGGGGGGAUCCCAAGUGUUAUGCUUAAUAGUAUGACUUUUCAUUAGUGUAAAAAGCUUUUAGAAUAAGAGCUGGGCAAGACCGGUGCCAGCCGCCGCGGUAACACCGGCAGCUCGAGUGGUAGCUGUUUUUAUUGGGCCUAAAGCGUUCGUAGCCGGUUUAAUAAGUCUUUGGUGAAAGCUUGUAGCUUAACUAUAAGAAGUGCUGGAGAUACUAUUAGACUUGAAGUCGGGAGAGGUUAUAGGUACUACCGGGGUA
RNAcentral lists this ribosomal RNA (498 nucleotides) under uncultured rumen archaeon. Its description in RNAcentral is "bacterial SSU rRNA". It matches the Rfam family "Archaeal small subunit ribosomal RNA", at positions 135 to 628 of the family's 1478-position model. The record is from RNAcentral.